This 550-nucleotide long non-coding RNA is filed under the name Gallus gallus (chicken). Lineage: Eukaryota; Metazoa; Chordata; Aves; Galliformes; Phasianidae. The record is from RNAcentral.
GGAACAUUGUGCUUACACUGCAUUGAUAGAAAACAAUGGGUUGGUCGUACUUGCAUCUGUAUCUCAGUAAAGUCUGGCCACGUUUACAGUUUUACUGGAAUGGUAUUGGAAAAGCUCACACUUUGCUCAGCAGUUUUCUGAGUUUCAUUCGUCCUGUUUCCUUUUGGGCUUUUUGGGAUUCCGAGAUCGGCUUUUUGCUUUGCAGAGUGGACAUAUUGGUGCAUUCCGAUGAAUUUGUUGGUGACAGGAUAAACAGGCCUUCAUUGGAGGUGGCUGUUGUCUGAACGUUGCUGUCUGUCUGGUAUCUUGCUUCCUAGCCACUUGCAGCUGUUGGGCAGCUGCUGCAGCUGCAGCCAGAGACUCUGGGAUGGGAGGCUCCUGUGGUUCUGUCUGCCAUUCUGCUUUCUGCUUUUCAAAGUAGUCAAGGGACAGUUUCUCUUCUUCCUCACACAAAUCUGGCAGCCUCUGCAAGCCCAAUGUCAUUCGCAGAGCAUCUACAUGCUCUUUUAAGGGUUUGUACUCCUCAUGUAGACGACGAGUAGAUUCCAAG